This 389-nucleotide ribosomal RNA is filed under the name uncultured bacterium. RNAcentral describes it as "bacterial SSU rRNA". It matches the Rfam family "Bacterial small subunit ribosomal RNA", at positions 8 to 385 of the family's 1533-position model. The record is from RNAcentral.
AGAGUUUGAUCCUGGCUCAGAACGAACGCUGGCGGCGUGCCUAACACAUGCAAGUCGAACGUGAAAGUCCUUCGGGAUGAGUAAAGUGGCGCACGGGUGAGUAAUGCGUAGAUAAUCUGCCUGGUGAUCUGGGAUAACAUCUCGAAAGGGGUGCUAAUACCGGAUAAGCCCACGGAGUCUUCGGACUUUGCGGGAAAAGGGGGGGACCUUCGGGCCUUCUGUCACCAGAUGAGUCUACGUACCAUUAGCUAGUUGGUGGGGUAAGAGCCCACCAAGGCUACGAUGGUUAGCUGGUCUGAGAGGAUGAUCAGCCACACUGGAACUGAGACACGGUCCAGACUCCUACGGGAGGCAGCAGUGGGGAAUUUUGCGCAAUGGGGGAAACCCUG